GAUGAACGCUGGCGGCGUGCCUAAUACAUGCAAGUCGAGCGAAUGGAUUAAGAGCUUGCUCUUAUGAAGUUAGCGGCGGACGGGUGAGUAACACGUGGGUAACCUGCCCAUAAGACUGGGAUAACUCCGGGAAACCGGGGCUAAUACCGGAUAACAUUUUGAACCGCAUGGUUCGAAAUUGAAAGGCGGCUUCGGCUGUCACUUAUGGAUGGACACGCGGCGCAUUAGCUAGUUGGUGAGGUAACGGCUCACCAAGGCAACGAUGCGUAGCCGACCUGAGAGGGUGAUCGGCCACACUGGGACUGAGACACGGCCCAGACUCCUACGGGAGGCAGCAGUAGGGAAUCUUCCGCAAUGGACGAAAGUCUUACGGAGCAACGCCGCGUGAGUGAUGAAGGCUUUCGGGUCGUAAAACUCUGUUGUUAGGGAAGAACAAGUUCUAGUUGAAUAAGCUGGCACCUUGACGGUACCUAACCAGAAAGCCACGGCUAACUACGUGCCAGCCGCCGCAGUAA
This 515-nucleotide ribosomal RNA is filed under the name uncultured bacterium. RNAcentral describes it as "partial 16S ribosomal RNA". It matches the Rfam family "Bacterial small subunit ribosomal RNA", at positions 28 to 523 of the family's 1533-position model. The record is from RNAcentral.